UACGUAGGGUGCAAGCGUUGUCCGGAAUUAUUGGGCGUAAAGAGCUCGUAGGCGGUGUGUCACGUCGGCCGUGAAAACCUGGGGCUUAACUCUGGGCGUGCGGUCGAUACGGGCAUCACUAGAGUUCGGCAGGGGAGACUGGAAUUCCUGGUGUAGCGGUGGAAUGCGCAGAUAUCAGGAGGAACACCGGUGGCGAAGGCGGGUCUCUGGGCAGUAACUGACGCUGAGGAGCGAAAGCGUGGGGAGCGAACAGG
RNAcentral lists this ribosomal RNA (254 nucleotides) under uncultured bacterium. RNAcentral's name for it is "partial 16S ribosomal RNA". It matches the Rfam family "Bacterial small subunit ribosomal RNA", at positions 524 to 776 of the family's 1533-position model. The record is from RNAcentral.